CUCAGGCAACAGUCACCAGGCAACAGCCACUGAAGCAACAGCCACUCAGGCAACAGUCACUCAGGCAACAGUCACACUGGUAAUAGUCACUCAGGCAACAGCCACCAGGUAACAGCCACUCAGGCAACAGUCACAAUGGCAAUAGCCACUUAGGCAACAGCCACUGAAGCAACAGGCACUCAGGCAACAGCCACCAGGCAACAGCCACUCAGGCAACAGUCACACUGGCAAUAGCCACUUAGGCAACAUCCACUCAGGCAACAGUCACUCAGGCAACAGCCACUCAGGCAACAGUCACUCUGGCAACAGCCACUGAAGCAACAGGCACUCAGGCAACAGCCACCAGGCAACAGCCACUCAGGCAACAGUCACACUGGCAAUAGCCACUUAGGCAACAUCCACUCAGGCAACAUCCACUCAGGCAACAGCCACUCAGGCAACAGUCACUCUGGCAACAGCCACUGAAGCAACAGGCACUCAGGCAACAGCUACUCUAAGCAACAGGCACUCAGGCAACAGCCACCAGGCAACAGUCACUCAGGCAACAGUCACACUGGCAAUAGCCACUCAGGCAACAGCCACUCUAAGCAACAGUCACUCAGGCAACAGCCACUCAGGCAACAGUGACUCGGGUAACAGACACUCGGGCAACAGUCACUCUAGGCACAGUCACGGUCUCCAGGAGCCAUGUGUAUUGACAUCAGAGGGUCUCUCAUUUUUACCCCUACAUCCCACCAUGACUUGGAUGGCUUGGUUUUAUUUCCAAGUCAGUAGGUUCUAAGAGCUUAACCGAGUGGCUUUCAACCUUGGCUGGGUGGCAGAACUGUGUAGGGAGCCUUUUAAAAACCCUUGCCACAGACUGGAGAAACUGCGGUGGCUGUGAGCCACUUUCUAGGUGACUCUGAGACACACUGCUCUGUCAGAAGACACCCCACGACCACAGCCACAGUUCGGUCCAGCACCUUGGAUUUGAGCCUUUUGAAAAAUCACCUGGGGGAGUAAACCCGUGGAGAAGAACCCCACUUAAGAUCUCUGCUCUCAAGGUGAAGGGUCUCCCACUGAGCCCAGAGCUUGACAGUUAGCCAUAGAGAUCCUAAUGUCUCCUGCAUCAUCGGUGCCUAUGACGUCAUCCAGUUUUUACGUGGACAAUGAGAACCAGCAUUCAGGCUUUUAUGGUGGGGACAUCCUUCGACCUGUCAAUGAAACGAAGACAAUUUGGUUUUUCCUGUCUUUAGCCGACUCUCAAUACCGCUUCUGGACCUCGUCCUUCAGUGUGUCUCUUGUCAUUAGCCGAUGACUUCAGAACCCGUGCUGUAUUUGAGUGGUGUGGGAGCUAUGGACAGACUUUUAAUCUUUAUCUCCGCCUGUGAGCAGUACUCACCUGCCUGUGAGUGACAUUAACACCUGCUUCAUCCAUAAGCAAUCAGAUUUAGACCUUUGAGGAGAGCAAGGUACUCCUUUGCAUUGUGAUGGGAAACUCUCACGGCAGCCCUAUGAGCCAGCAGUGACUCCCAGCCUCAGACUUUCAUCCCAGCGGAGCGCGCUACUUCUGGAUGGAAUGAGGGCCAACGUUCCCUUCUGAAUUAAUACCCCAAGAUCCACCAUCUUCCUGAACGAAGCUAGAAGCAGCUGGGUCAGAAUCUGAGAGCCUCGUCCACCUGCAGAUGUGUGGGUUCUUGGUCCUGGUGGUUUACAUCGAGGUCCUUCCUGGAGUUAUUUUUGUUUGCUUGUUUUGUUUUUGUUUCUCAUUUGCAUUCCUCAUGACUCGCCAACUCACCCCACCCGUAGGGAACGGAAAUUUUCGUUAAAUAAAACAUAAGCCUCAACCUCAGAAGGUUUAAAUGUAUCUGCUUUGGUAUGGCUGGACUCUGAUUAACCCCGACGCUAUAUUUACUCUGCCAAAGUCAGAAUUCUCCAGGGACUUAGCUGUACAUGGUUCUCAGUUCAUCUAUGGCCCUGCCCUCUACUGAUGUCACCGUAUGGUCCUCCUGCUCAUUGUACCCUCUGGUUUCCUGGGCGGUACAGUUUCCUAAUGGUUUCCAGAUCCGUGGCUCCGUGGGCUCCGUGGGCUCCAGCCACGGCAGUAGUCUUUUCUAACAUCGGGUGGGUUUGCCAAUGGGGGAUGGGGAGAAUUCGGAGAAUGCGACUUCAUUCUGGAUGGCCGGUUGGCUCAGUGGGUAAAGGCACCUGCUAUCAACCCUGACGACCGAAGUUCCAUCCUCGGGCCUGCAAUGAUUGAAGGCACAGAACCAACUACCACAAGGUGUCCUCUGACCUUCAAACCCUCCAAGCCUCAAGCAAAUAAAUAAAAU
Long non-coding RNA from Mus musculus (house mouse), 2312 nucleotides. RefSeq annotates it as predicted gene, 36482. The transcript has 6 exons. Lineage: Eukaryota; Metazoa; Chordata; Mammalia; Rodentia; Muridae. The record is from RefSeq and is a predicted model, not a curated record.